This 372-nucleotide ribosomal RNA is filed under the name uncultured bacterium. RNAcentral describes it as "bacterial SSU rRNA". It matches the Rfam family "Bacterial small subunit ribosomal RNA", at positions 525 to 896 of the family's 1533-position model. The record is from RNAcentral.
ACGAAGGGGGCUAGCGUUGCUCGGAAUGACUGGGCGUAAAGGGCGCGUAGGCGGUCACGAUAGUCAGAUGUGAAAUUCCUGGGCUUAACCUGGGGGCUGCAUUUGAUACUGUGUGGCUUGAGUAUGGAAGAGGGUCGUGGAAUUCCCAGUGUAGAGGUGAAAUUCGUAGAUAUUGGGAAGAACACCGGUGGCGAAGGCGGCGACCUGGUCCAUAACUGACGCUGAGGCGCGAAAGCGUGGGGAGCAAACAGGAUUAGAUACCCUGGUAGUCCACGCUGUAAACGAUGUGUGCUGGAUGUUGGGUGACCUAGUCACUCAGUGUCGUAGCUAACGCGAUAAGCACACCGCCUGGGGAGUACGGCCGCAAGGUUG